This 2662-nucleotide unclassified non-coding RNA is filed under the name Leishmania donovani. RNAcentral describes it as "gene:LdHU3.20.0740(CDS-product:chaperone_protein_ DNAJ-like_protein)". The record is from RNAcentral. Lineage: Eukaryota; Euglenozoa; Kinetoplastea; Trypanosomatida; Trypanosomatidae.
CGAACCGGGGGGCUGACCGCGACGAUUACACUGCUUGAUUCCUGCCCCUCCCCACCCCCCCUUCUCUCUAGGCAGCACGCGGCGUGACAGGAGGGGAUAUUACGAGCAACAGAGUCGUAGCUGUCACGGUGCCGUCGCGAUUCAUCGCACGCAACACCGCCCCUCACGCGCACCCAGACAGCAGAGCCCAACGUCAGCGGCACCUGCUCACGUCCCCGUUUCUCCUUUCUUCUCCUCGUUCUCUUCCUUUGGUAUCUCUGACCAUCUUCGCAAGCUAUGCUCGCGCCAAGGAGCGUUCGGUGGUGCGGUGGCAACCGGCGCAGCAGCGGUAGCGCGAGUGUCGGCGUUGGCCCACAUGUGCGCACGACGGGGCCCUGGAUGCCUUGGCACACUCUACUCUAUCAGCGUCGCUGCUUCCAAGUGAUCCAACGCGGGCACGACCGGCCACAGGAGUCUCUCUAUAACAAGCUGGGCUUCGCCAAAGACACGGAGGCACGCCUUGUGCGCCGCAGCACCACUGAACUGCGGCAGGCCCUGCUGCGACGCGUCGAAGAGCUAAAGGACCCCGCGAACGACCCAGCGGACAAGAAGCGACUGUCGGAGCUGAAGGAUGCGUACACCCGCCUACAGGACGACUGCUUCCGCACGAACUACGCAAGUCAUUACUACGCCUCCAACGACGCUCGACUACAUGUUCUGUGCGACGGCGGUCAGGUGGCCGCCAACUUCAACCCGGAGCACCAGCAGUUCACCUACGUGGACCACGCCAUUGACCGCGAGAGCACCGGCAGCGGUGUUGGUCGCUGCUUGCCCACGGGAAAGGCUGGCGGUUCAGCUUUGAGUUCGGGGCCCCCCGGUCGCAGCGAGGUGCCGACGGCGGAGGCACUUGGCGAUGCCUUCCGAAACGCCACCGGCGUCGGCGAGAGCGCCAGUGGUGCCACCUCGUCAAACGCCACCGCCUACAAGGCAGCGGACGCAGCAGGGGCGCUGAACGGUACCGACAUCACGCACCUGCUGCGCGUCACCCUCGAGCAGAGUCUAGCAGGCUGUGAAGUGGAGGUGGCGAUACACAAAAAUGUUCGCUGCGUCACGUGUCGCGGCUCGGGUCGGCAGCAGCUGCGGACACCGCGGAAGUGCCCGCAGUGCCUGGGCCGCGGCUCUGCGCACAUGCCAAGUGCCACCUAUCACAUUGAACGCCGCUGCCUCUACUGCGGUGGCGAGGGGACCGUGCCGGCGCCGCCGUGCCGCGCGUGUGAUGGCCGUGGCGUGCAGCUCCACCAGGCGGUGCAGGUGCCGGUCAGCGUGCCCGCAGGUACCCUGUCCAACUCCCUCUUCCGCCUUCGCCACCAGGGACAUGACGGGGUGCGUGGUGGCCAUGCUGGUGAUCUACUCCUCACUGUGCUGGUGAGCGAGCACCGCUAUUUCUACCGUAGUCCCGAGAGGAGCCACGAGCUGCAUGCGAUGCUGCCACUGCCGCUCUCAGUAGCAUUACUCGGCGGUCGUGUCAACGUACCGACGCUGAAUGGGUUCGGCACGGUGCACGUGCCGCCGUGUGUGCGAAGCGGUGAGGUUCUUCCGCUGGAUGUGUAUGGGGCACCCGAUGCCACGAAUCGCGCCUCUGCAGCGGCGGCAGCUCCGCACACAAUCCUCUAUCAUGCCUUGGUGAUGAUUCCAAAGGGGGAUGCACUGUCUGGACGGCAGAAGGCAGCACUGCAGCUGUACGAGGCGCACCACAGCUAUCCGUCUGCCACAGCAGCAGAGGUGGAGGCCGUGGGCCGGUCACGCACCUUUGGUGCUGAAGCCUCGCAACAACAGGCACCAGCAUCAUCGGCAGGCACGGUCUCCCGCGAGCAGCUGAUGGCAAGUUGCGCCGCCCUCAAAUCCUCGUACACGCACUGGUUUCAUGCAGACUGAUAGCACGCACGAUCGUGCGCAUUUUCGUGUUUCACGGAUCGCCGUGGAGGGGUGCAGAUGGCAUGGAUUUAUGCGCUCAUCUAUGCGUGUGUGUCUGUGUGCGGGUAAGGUGCCAAGGUCGGAGGUGCCGCCGCGCAAAGCCCGGGGACCGCAGGAAUGAGCACUGCGAGCAUGCUGAUGGGGCGCGUCGCUGAUGAAAAAGACGGCGAAAGUGGGGCUGCUUGAUUGGAUGCUAUUGUCAGGCGAGGGAGAGACACACACACGCACACACACACACAGACGAAAACAGAUGCGGAAGGGCGCUGGACCCAUGCGGAGGGAUGGCUGCAGCCCUCCGCCCCCCACCCCACCAUCCUCACCACCACCACCCGCGCCCCAGAGUUCCGCAGCACAGCGCGACGGAAUCAAGCAAACCCGGAAAGCAGAGGUACGGGAGAAGAGAUGCAUACUCAGUGACCCUAAAACUGUGACGGAAGCGGAACGAAAAAAAAGUGAAGGCCGCUCCAAGACGUUCGUGGUGCGUAUUGCACCGUAAAGUGCCGGGCACGCGCAGCAUUACAUACAGUCACGCCAAGAAGCGUCUUGUCCUCUGCGCUAGCGUUCUUGUGCCCCACCAUUCUCGUGCUGUUUCUUCCGUGAGCUCGCGUUCGGUCCUGCUGAGACCGACGAGCAACUCUGCCGCAGAUCUCCGCCCCUUGCCCCCCUCCACCAGCCUCUCCCUUCUGAACCCCCAUCUGCUGCACCUCAG